This 137-nucleotide ribosomal RNA is filed under the name uncultured eukaryote. Its description in RNAcentral is "partial 18S ribosomal RNA". It matches the Rfam family "Eukaryotic small subunit ribosomal RNA", at positions 1299 to 1458 of the family's 1831-position model. The record is from RNAcentral.
UGGUGGGGUGACUUGUCUGCUUAAUUGCGAUAACGAACGAUACCUUAACCUGCUAAAUAGCCCGCAUUGCUCCGGCAGUGCGCUGGCUUCUUAGAGGGACUUUCGGCUCAAGCCGAAGGAAGUUUGAGGCAAUAACA